This 765-nucleotide unclassified non-coding RNA is filed under the name Hevea brasiliensis (rubber tree). The record is from RNAcentral. Lineage: Eukaryota; Viridiplantae; Streptophyta; Magnoliopsida; Malpighiales; Euphorbiaceae.
GAAGGCUGUUAUGAUCUCAUAGAUUUUGAGCAUAAAAACAUUUUAUAACUCAAAAGUUUCCACACCAACAACGCUCAGAAGUACAGCUACAAGUAAAUAGAGAAAAUUUAACAGGAAUUCUCAUGUUUUUAUUCCCUAUUGGCCAUGGAGAAAGGACAAUCCACUUUCAUUUAAGGCCCUUUGGAAAGGGCAGGCUGCUUGUAUAUUUGAAUUCUUCCUUGUCAGCGGCAAGCCACAAUGUAGUAAACAGAUGACAUCAGAAGAAUGCUCUUGCCAACUUUCAACCAUACCACGUCUGAACUAGUUCAAUAAAAGUAGCCAAGAACUUGUCCACCCACAUUUUGCCGCUGAGCUUCUUCGUGAUCCAAAACUCCGUUUGGUGUUGUAAUUACAACAUAUCCCCACUGACGUGUAGGAAGGGUGCGCGUUUUAUAAUCCUCAAGAGUUGCCGCCUUGAUAUCCUGUCUAUAGGUGAGAGCUCGACAAUCAUUGAUCCUUCCAAGCAAUUCAACAGAUAUCUUACCAACUCUAUGAGGAUCAUGUACUUGAAAGUCUUUAAUAUAACCUCGAUACUUCAUGAUUUGGAGGAAAUUAGCGAUGACAUUAGAGACAGGUUUUAGCUCAGCAGAAGCAAAUCCUCUCUUUUCUGCAUUCACAAUAGUCCUCAGUGCAUCGUUCAAUAUUCUCCUCCCCAUUUUUACUUUACUGUUUCUUCUCCGGCGACUGUAAAAUCUCCUUUCAACUCCUUAAACCCUCGCACAAAAU